AGAGUGUGCUGACCCCUUGUGACGGAGAGCCUGCAGCUGAACAGCUGUCCAUACUGGUGGGCCUGCCUUGCCAGGAAUUAAGCUACAGUUGUCUGUCACACCUCACUUUGGAUCCCAACUCCUACUGAUGUUUAUUCUGAUGCCCUGGAUGGAGACCAAUUGACUAUGUGAGCUCUCCUGCCGCUGGCUGCCAUGCUGCCCCUGCUAUCAGAGACUCUAACCUGUAGUUGGAGUUUUCCUGCCUGGCCCACAGUCAAGACAAAUCUCUGUCACCCGCCAGUCCCAAGCCGCUCAAACCCGACCAAGUAAACACAGAGACUUAUAUUGGUUUCAAACUGUAUGGCCGUGGCAGGCUUCUUGCUAACUGUUCUUACAGCUUAAAUCAAUCCAUUUCUAUUAAUCUAUACCUUGCCACGUGGCUUGUGGCUUACCGGUAUCUUCACAUUCUGUUUCUCAUCGUGGCGGCUGGCAGUGUCUCUCUGACUCAGCCUUCCACUUCCCAGCUUUAUUCUCCUCCUUGUCCCGCCUACACUUCCUGCCUAGCCAAUGGCCAAUCAGUGUUUUAUUUAUUGACUAAUUAGCAACACAUUUGCCAUACAGAACAUCCCACAGCACUUCCCCCAUUUUUUUUUUCAAAAAGGAAGGUUUUAACCUUAACAAAAUAAAAUUACAUACAAUUUGGGAAUUUGGGCGUAGCUUCUCUUACUACUUCCUGCUGGAGGGGGUCGCUGUAUCUUAUGGGGAUACAAAGAAAAUUUUAGAAUUAUGGAAUAGUCCAUGAGGGUGUAUCGUCUGAGCCAGUUGCCUUCAAAUCAUUCUGGAUGUUGGAUCAUCUGGGCCAUGGUGUCAUCGGAGACCUUUCAGGGGGUCUUGGCUGGUCAAACCUGAUGUAUCUUAAUCUUGAACAAAUCCAUAGCCUCUGGCUUUCUGUGGAAACAAAAGCAGAGUCUCCUUUCCAAAGUAACAUAUCCUUAUAUUCAAAUUUUGAAGUCAAGGUACCUUUAAAGUAUACAUUUUGGCAUAACUCAACAGCUUUUACAAUCAAAUGUUUUUCUGCAGUUAAAAGUCCCAAAGACAACACAAUCCAGAUUCUCUGUGUAAUAUCCAUUUUUACGUGGCUUAUUUUUUAUACUACCUUUACUGUCUCUUUAAAGACUUUAUUUUUUAAAACUAUAUAUUUGUUUCUAUAACUCUAUAUAUCAUCUUUUUUGUCUCUUUCAAGCCUACGUAUCUUUUAUACACAUUGUAAACUAUUACAUCUGAAUCUGUCUUAUUGUGAAUCUAUUGCCUUAAACUGCAGCAGCUGUGGCUGCUGGCUCCACCCACCUCAGCUUCCCAACAUAACGGUGUUACCUUUUCCACCAGCUCUGGGAGCUAUCAUGGGUCUAUGCUUUUAGCCAAGCAGCGUGUAGUCCAGAAACCCUUUUUUGUUUUGCACUAGCAAAGGCUAAAUCCACCAUGUAGCUUAAUGUGCCACUUGCAGAGGCCUCAUUCCCGCCAUACUGCAGGUCGAGCACACACUCUAGGAACCCACCAGUAGCUCAAAUCAGCAGCUGCCGCUCAUUUGAGAGAGACAAUUAGGAACUGUUUUUAGCUCCGUUUUAGAAUCUUUUCUCAGGUUUUAGGUGGAAACUCUUGCCACCACGUUGGACGCCAUUUGUAGUUGGAGUUUUCCUGCCUGGCCCACAGUCAAGACAAAUCUCUGUCACCCGCCAGUCCCAAGCCGCUCAAACCCGACCAAGUAAACACAGAGACUUAUAUUGGUUUCAAACUGUAUGGCCGUGGCAGGCUUCUUGCUAACUGUUCUUACAGCUUAAAUCAAUCCAUUUCUAUUAAUCUAUACCUUGCCACGUGGCUUGUGGCUUACCGGUAUCUUCACAUUCUGUUUCUCAUCGUGGCGGCUGGCAGUGUCUCUCUGACUCAGCCUUCCACUUCCCAGCUUUAUUCUCCUCCUUGUCCCGCCUACACUUCCUGCCUAGCCAAUGGCCAAUCAGUGUUUUAUUUAUUGACUAAUUAGCAACACAUUUGCCAUACAGAACAUCCCACAGCACUAACCUUCGGGAACCAUGAGCCAAAACAAGCUCUUCUGUAAGCUGUGUUGAUCGUGGCUUUUGUCUCUGCAACAGGGAAGUCAUUCAUACAGCAGUAGAGUUCCCUGCCAUCUCAGAAGUUGCAAUUUUCAACCAAAUAGACAGACAUAUUGUAUUAUAUUAGCUGACGAUAACUACCAUGGAGAAAACAGUGGAGACUCAGAGGAGACAGGGCGAUGUGUGGUUGCAAUGUACUUAGUGUGGUCAUGCUCAGUGACCAAGAGCACUUGAACCCAGACCUGAGAGAGGAUAGUCUAGCCACACAGGCAUCAGGAGGGGGAACAUUCUAGGCGGAGAGGAAGGCACGCACACAGGGUCUGAUGUCAGAAAGGACUUGCUGGUUUGGGGAUUGUGUGGAUGGUGCAGUGCUUACAAGGGGCAACCUAGCAGGAAGUGAAUUAAAGAUGUAGCUCAGAGUUCAGCCCACAGCUCAGUGGUGGAGUGUUUGCCUAACAUGCACAAGGCCCUGGGAUCCAUUCCCCCAGGAGAAGCAGCUGGGUCCAAUGAGCACCAGUGAGCAACAUCUUUGAAUGAAUCAUUUCUGUGAUUUGUCUCACCACCCAGUAUUGACUUCUUGCCUUAACAAAAUGACUUCCGUUGCUCGGUGCUGCGGAGUGUGCUAGGAUUGCCCCAUUGCAAUCAGAGGAAAGUCUGAUGACUGCUCACUGGGUAGUGACUCACAUCAUUCCUUCUAUCUGAGUGAGCGUUCCACACCUGUGUCCCUCUCGCCUCCACAGACAGGAUUCAGGAGCAAUCACUUUUGUUCAACAGUUCUCCUCUUCUUUACUUAAAGGAACUCUGGAGUUGGAAUCAGAAAGCCUGGGACUAUACUUUCCAAAACAUGAAUCUUUAGAUUAUUCUUCCAAUUUGUGACAGGUCAGAUAAUUCUACUUUUCUAAUUCGUGAAUGAGGACAACAUUAUCUACUCUUCAAGAGUUUUAUAAGAAAUUGGAUUAUUUCAAAAAACAAUUAAAUGAUACCUAGUACAUAGAAAAUGCUAAAUAAACAGUUUUAGUAUUUUAAAUGUGUAUCUAGAUGCUUGACCGCUUGAUGAAAUGCCUACGUAAUCAACAGAUCUAUCUGCCCUACUUGCUAUGGAAACUCUUCUAAAUUGAGUUUGCAUUAUGGUCACUUACACCUGUGCCCAUGCUCGCAUAGUGUGUGUUUCUUGAGAGCCGUUGCAAACACGUGGUUUUAUACCCAACUCUUCACAACCUGUCUGAAGAGGGAGGAAGGUGCUCAAUACUUGCUGGGAGUGUGAGCGACUGAGCCUCCCAGGUUUCUUCAGUUGGCUCAGGUAGUCCUCCACCAGCCUUUCACAACAUCGACAAAGCAAGAUGGUACAUGAUGGAUGGCUCCAUGUCCUCUACCCCACCUAUGUAUCUCCAGUUAGAUUUCCCAGGAAGUCUGCCUUUGAGAUAAUUCAUCUUCUAACAAGUCCAACUGUCUUCUGGUAUGGCUCAGACAUUCACAGUGACCUUGCCUACUUUUCUUUUGAUUUGUUUUAUUUUUGAUUACGUGGAUGUGAGUGUGUGUGUGUGUGUGUGUGUGUGUGUGUGUGUGUGUGUGUGUGUGUUUCUGUGCACAUGAAUGAAGGUGCCUGUGGAGACCAGAAGGCAUGAGACACCAUAGAACUAGAGUUGUGAGCCACCCAAAAUAGAUGCUGGGAACCAAACUCUGGUCAAAAGAAGAGCAAGCACUCUUAACUACUGAGCCAUCUCUCCAGCCCCAUAGACUGUUCAUCUUACAUGGAACUCAUGACUAGAGGAAGUGUGAUGGAAUUGAAUGGCUGUAAACAUCUUACUAGCAGAGACUUGCAAGUACAUUUGAAUUUAACAGAUUCCAGCCAUUAGCAUAUAAGUCCUUGGUAAAUAUUAGAUGUUGAGCCCACCUUGUCACACUGUAGUUCCUGACUCUUGUUUCCUUUGAAAUCUGGAAUAGGACAGUAUAUCUUGGGAAACCAAAUCAGCUGUUUGGCAUGUCUGAUAUGAUGGACAAUGUUGUUUAAUAUUAUCUUUCUAGAAGUUUCCUGAGUUGAUGCUUUUGUUCCCAAGUCUCUUUGCCCAAAUAUAUGCAUCCUCACAUUCUUCCAGGAGCAAAGUCAAGGGCUGCAGAGUUUUCUGAAUCUGGUGUUAACAUUGCCGAGGGGAUGCUUUCUCUGAGGCUAUUGAGUACUGUUAUAGUCAUGUUUCUGCAACUGUAAAUGACUGAGAUACUGUGUGUAAGAAAACACGGUGAACUCCUCUAGCAUAGUAUGGCCCUUCCCUUAACAAAUCACAAUUCACUGAGAAAAUGUGAAAUGGAAAUUCUUAAGUGAGUAAAGAGCACCACAGUGUGGUUCUAGUAAGUAAGAGCACAUAAAUGCUCAAUAUCACAUAUAAAAGACACUCUCCAGUAAAGGUCUAUGUCCUCUGGUUCUUAGUCCUUCCAACUCCUUUUCCAUGAUGAACCCAGGACCUCACACAGGCUAGGUAAAUGCUCUACCACUAAAACACACCAUCAGGUCCCCACAUCUGUGCCAGUGUGGAUGACACCAGAGAGCAGUGGAAAAAAACACAAUUUGUUUUUGAUGAAUUUUGGGUCACACAGUGUCAUGGUCUGUUUAGGUAGCAAUAUUUCCAUGUAUUUGGGCAAGCUUAAUCUCUGCUUCCCUGUAGCAGGUACUAUUCCUAUGCUCCAUGCAGUUUAUGGCAUGCUUGGGAGGCAGACAACACUCUUAGGAAGUGGAGAGAUGCUCAGGCAGGAAGUGCAGAGAUACUCAGAGGCAGCUGGUUUUGUUCUGAGGGUGCAGGGCAAUGGGUACCACUCAGAAAGGAGGAUCUAGACAAAAUUCAAGGUACAGACUGAGAAAGUUUUAGAAAUUGGGAAGUGAUUCUGUGUGACGUGUUGUGCAGGCCACUCACUUUUAGGUCUUAGUGUUCCAUUCUCUUCCUACAUAUCUUCACAGUGUCAUUGGGAAACAAACUGGCUCUUUUCAAUCAUGUCACGUUCUCAUCAGACAACAGCAAUCUGAUUUUCAAAAGCAUGCCUCAUAUUAUUGUAGUGCGAUCACAUAAUGUCAUGUGCUUAUUCUCCAGUGCAAGAUAGAGUCUGAAGUCUAUCCCCUUGGAGAAAUGCAGUUGCUCUGAAAGACACACUCACGAAGGAGGUAUCAGUGCAGAGAAAAGCCUCUGACUUUGUCUGCGGGUUUGGUGUUCUGCCACUUCACUGACAGUGUUUAUCAGAUCUGAAAUUUUCGGGUGACAUCUGUGGGGUCUUUAAAUAAAGACAAUAUCAGCAAAUAGUGGUGGCUGGACUUCUUCCUUUCCAAUUUUAUAUUUUUCUUGCCUUAUUGCUCUAAGACUUUGAGUGCUAAGUAGAAUAAGGGUGAGGAGAGUGUUGUUUUAUCUCAUUCCAGCUGUUAAAUGGGAAAUGCUCUCCAUUUUCCCCCUUUACUAUAAUGUUGGCUACAUUUUUUGUCAUAUUUAGCCUUUAUUAAAUUGAGGUUGGUUCCAUCUAAUCCUGGUUUCUUCAGGUCUUUGAUCAUUAAGGUAUGUUGAACUUUCUCAAAUGCUUUUUCUGCAACUAUGGAGAUGAUCAUGUGAUUUCUGUCUUUAAGUCUAUUAAUAUGGUAUAUUUAUUGAUUUGUGUGCGUUGAACAAACUUUGCUUCCCUGUGAGGAAACCAAUUUGAUCAAGCAUGUGACCUUCAGGUGACCUUGAAUUUGUUUUGCAAGUACUGUUGGGAAUUUUUGUUUAUUUAUUUGAGGAUUUUCUAUAUUUGUUAGGGAAAUUGGUCUGUAGUUU
Molecule: long non-coding RNA, 5875 nt
Organism: Peromyscus californicus insignis
Lineage: Eukaryota; Metazoa; Chordata; Mammalia; Rodentia; Cricetidae
Exons: 3
Source: RefSeq, a predicted model, not a curated record